This 19-nucleotide small nuclear RNA is filed under the name Arabidopsis thaliana (thale cress). Its description in RNAcentral is "snRNA_17729". Lineage: Eukaryota; Viridiplantae; Streptophyta; Magnoliopsida; Brassicales; Brassicaceae. The record is from RNAcentral.
UCCCAAAGGCACGUGUCGU